RNAcentral lists this ribosomal RNA (253 nucleotides) under uncultured bacterium. RNAcentral describes it as "partial 16S ribosomal RNA". It matches the Rfam family "Bacterial small subunit ribosomal RNA", at positions 524 to 776 of the family's 1533-position model. The record is from RNAcentral.
UACAUGGGGUGCAAACGUUGCUCGGAAUUACUGGGCGUAAAGCGUGCGCAGGCGGUUUUGUAAGCCAGAUGUGAAAUCCCCGGGCUUAACCUGGGAAUGGCAUUUGGGACUGCAAGGCUUGAGUGCGGCAGAGGAGACUGGAAUUCCUGGUGUAGCAGUGAAAUGCGUAGAUAUCAGGAGGAACACCGAUGGCGAAGGCAGGUCUCUGGGCUGACACUGACGCUCAUGCACGAAAGCGUGGGGAGCAAACAGG